GGGAUGGGGAUGCGUCUGAUUAGAUAGUAGGCGGGUAACGCCCACCUAGUCAACGAUCAGUAGGGGUUCUGAGAGGAAGGUCCCCCACAUUGGAACUGAGACACGGUCCAAACUCCUACGGGAGCAGCAGUGAGGAGUAUUGGUCAAUGGGCGAGAGCCUGAACCAGCCAAGUAGCGUGCAGGACGACGGCCCUAUGGGUUGUAAAACUGCUUUUAUACGGGGAGUAAAGUGGGCCAUGCAUGGCCUUUUGUCAUGUACCGUAUGAAUAAGGACCGGCUAAUUCCGUGCC
This 290-nucleotide ribosomal RNA is filed under the name uncultured bacterium. RNAcentral's name for it is "partial 16S ribosomal RNA". It matches the Rfam family "Bacterial small subunit ribosomal RNA", at positions 222 to 509 of the family's 1533-position model. The record is from RNAcentral.